This 407-nucleotide ribosomal RNA is filed under the name uncultured bacterium. RNAcentral's name for it is "partial 16S ribosomal RNA". It matches the Rfam family "Bacterial small subunit ribosomal RNA", at positions 28 to 526 of the family's 1533-position model. The record is from RNAcentral.
GACGAACGCUGGCGGCGUGCCUAAUACAUGCAAGUAGAACGCAGUUGCGAACGGGUGAGUAACGCGUAGGUAACUGCCUGGUAGCGGGGGAUAACUAUUGGAAACGAUAGCUAAUACCGCAUACUACCAGAUGGACCUGCGUUGUAUUAGCUAGUUGGUGAGGUAACGGCUCACCAAGGCAACGGUACAUAGCCGACCUGGAAGGGUGAUCGGCCACACUGGGACUUGGACACGGGCCAGACCCCUUCCGGAGGCAGCAGUAGGGAAUCUUCGGCCAUGGGGGGAACCCUGAACGAGCCACGCCGGGGGAGUGAAGAAGGGUUUCGGAUCGUAAAGCUCUGUUGGUAAGGAAGCGGUACUUAACCAGAAAGGGACGGCUAACUACGUGCCAGCAGCCGCGGUAAUAC